RNAcentral lists this ribosomal RNA (411 nucleotides) under Triticum aestivum (bread wheat). RNAcentral's name for it is "partial small subunit ribosomal RNA". Lineage: Eukaryota; Viridiplantae; Streptophyta; Magnoliopsida; Poales; Poaceae. The record is from RNAcentral.
AUGAACAUGGCACCAACUCCCUUUCUGAUGGUGCUGAUGACACUAUCACAUCUCAAGAUAGUGGGAGCAGAAUCUCUGAUCAAAUUCCGGAUGAGCUGGAGGGCAUUGACAGUAAGGCAUAUAGAGAUGAUCUCGAAUGAAACCAACAAAUGUCAGAUUUCUGAACCUGGUGUGGAGAACAAUGAGUUUACUUCUUCGAGGGCAGGUCAUGAUCAAGACAACACAAUGAGGAGGUGCUCAAGACUUGAACAAUACUGCGCAUGCCAGGGCCAUCCACAAUGUCAGGGUGAAAAACUUGGAGAUCGCCAAUGUGUUGCUGGUGUGGUCUGGGAAGGAGUAUGUGCUGUCACUGAAAAAUCUAGUUUGCCUCCUAUUGCCUUUCGAUCUGGUUGCUGGCCUGUGGUUCCGUGA